GGUCACGAGCCCCAGUGCGAAGCCCCGGCUGGCUGGGCAGCAACCCCCACGUCACGGCGGGGUGCUCCGGGAGAUGACCUGGCCGCCGGCCGGCCCGCGCA
RNAcentral lists this non-coding RNA (101 nucleotides) under Krasilnikoviella flava. RNAcentral's name for it is "Promicromonospora flava SAM-IV sequence". The stretch from base 1 to 79 matches the Rfam family "SAM (S-adenosyl methionine) riboswitch aptamer", at positions 1 to 79 of the family's 116-position model. Rfam says of the family: SAM-IV is a mRNA element that regulates gene expression via direct sensing of S-adenosylmethionine (SAM or AdoMet). SAM-IV riboswitches share conserved nucleotide positions with the previously described SAM-I riboswitches sequence analysis and molecular recognition experiments suggest that SAM-I and SAM-IV riboswitches share similar ligand binding sites, but have different scaffolds. The record is from Rfam by way of RNAcentral. Lineage: Bacteria; Bacillati; Actinomycetota; Actinomycetes; Micrococcales; Promicromonosporaceae.